UAAGAGCAGAAAUCAAUGAAAUUGACAACAAAAACUAGAGAAAAUGAAUGAAAUAAAGUGCUGAUUCUUUAAAAAAUAAUGAAAUUGACAAACCUCUCAUAAGACUGACAAAGACACAGAUUAUUAAUAGCAGGAAUGAAAUGGGAUAUCACUACAGAUUCUGUCGACAUCAAAAAUACAAUAAAGGAAUAAUAUGAACAACUUCCUAUAUAAUUUGACAACUUAGGUCAAAUGGGCCAAUUCACAUUUAGAAACUUGAGAAGAUAGGGCAUAUUUUAAAUGUGUAAUUUUUAGCAUGUUAUGACAUUUCACAAACACAUAUUCCUUCUCUCUUGCUACCAGAUUUGUCUCUUAAGAGUGUAAGUUGUUGUUUGUAUCCCUAGUGCUUAGCAGAAUUCAGUACGAUGCCUGACAUUUAUGCUUCCUUAUGAAUGCUUCAGUGAAUGGCUGAUAGCUAAAAUAGCCACACAGAUAUUUUAAAACAUUUCUGGUUAAAUAUAUUUUAUCGAAAAGAAAAAUCAGUAGCCUUUUUAUCUUUUUUCCAAAGGGAAGGGAUAUGUGAUUGUAUUUGGCAGAAGCCAUCUGGAUCAGACUCUGUUGUCUUAAUACACAGUAGUAAGUGCAAUCACAGUUUAUGUAGAGCUGAACUAUUGAGCAUAUAUAUCUAUCAUUGAGAAUAUGUUGUGGUUACUUAUUGAUGAGAACAGAUUGCUAAUUUCUUAGCUCAAGUUGAGAAUUUCUUUUAAAGUCUUUUAUUUGCUGUAUUUAGAGGUCCUGUUGAGGUAAUUGAAAUAGUAAUGACAUGUGAAUGUAUACAUAUGGUGAAUUAUGAAUGUACAAGAUCAUAUUAAUACUUAGAGGUUAAGUCUUGAAAAUGUCUUGAAUAUGAAAAUAUUUCUUGAUUGUAUCAGCCUGUGAAUUAAAAUUAUGUCAACGACCA
Herpailurus yagouaroundi (jaguarundi) is the source of this 940-nucleotide long non-coding RNA. RefSeq lists it as uncharacterized. NCBI's taxonomy places the organism in Eukaryota, Metazoa, Chordata, Mammalia, Carnivora, Felidae. The transcript has 2 exons. The record is from RefSeq and is a predicted model, not a curated record.